CCUACGGGAGGCAGCAGUGGGGAAUAUUGGGCAAUGGAGGAAACUCUGACCCAGCGACGCCGCGUGCGGGAUGAAGGCCUUCGGGUUGUAAACCGCUUUCAGUAGGGAAGAAGCGAAAGUGACGGUACCUACAAAAGAAGCACCGGCUAACUAUGUGCCAGCAGCCGCGGUAAUACAUAGGGUGCAAGCGUUGUCCGGAAUUAUUGGGCGUAAAGAGCUCGUAGGUCGUUUGUUACGUCGGAUGUGAAAACCCUGAGGCUCAACCUCAGGCCUGCAUUCGAUACGGGCAAACUAGAGUUUGGUAGGGGAGACUGGAAUUCCUGGUGUAGCGGUGGAAUGCGCAGAUAUCAGGAGGAACACCAAUGGCGAAGGCAGGUCUCUGGGCCAAUACUGACACUGAGGAGCGAAAGUCUGGGGANCGAACAGGAUUAGAUACCCUGGUAGUCCAGACCGUAAACGGUGGGCACUAGUUGUGGGAACCUUCCACGGUUUCUGCGACGUAGCUAACGCUAUUAGUCGCCCCGUCGUCGGUAGGUACGAGUCGCGAGAAUAAACUACAAGUAAGUAGUACGCGCGAGAGACGUCGACGACGACGACGAGGAGGAG
This 606-nucleotide ribosomal RNA is filed under the name uncultured bacterium. RNAcentral's name for it is "bacterial SSU rRNA". The stretch from base 1 to 526 matches the Rfam family "Bacterial small subunit ribosomal RNA", at positions 338 to 873 of the family's 1533-position model. The record is from RNAcentral.